AUGGACCUGACCUCCGACCUCCAGGUCCUCCCCAUUCCUGAUCAGCGGCUCUGUAUCUUCCAGCCUCCUAGCACGCUUCUUGCAUACAGUAAGGAAUUGAUAAUCUGCAGCUUAGAGCUUCAAAUGAAAGCCCCUGUGGGAGGAAGUGUUAGAUGCCAAAGAAGGAAUGCACUGCAAUUUAACUCCAAAGUCUCAAAGCAGGACAUGUCUUUCACUGCCCAUGAAGAAUAGUAAAUAGUCGGCCAGGCACAGUGGCUCGCACCUCUAAUCCCAGCACUUUGGGCAUACCACCUGAGGUCAGGAGUUCGAGACCAGCCUGGCCAACAUGGUGAAACCCUAUCUCUACUAAAAAUACAAAAAUUAGCUGGGCAUGGUGGCGCAGACCUGCAAUCCCAGCUACUCAGGAGGCUGAGGCAGGAGAAUUGUUUGAAGGUGAGACGCAGAGAUUGCAGUGAACUGAGAUCGCACCAUUGCACUCCAACCUGGGCGACAGAGCAAGACUCUGUCUCAAAAGAGGAAAUAGUUUCUUUUAGAGAAGUCCUCGGAAAUACAACGUGCUCUAGAUUGUGCCUGUGCUAACAUACUGAAGGACUGAGAGCACCACCGCUGUGGGCACCAGGAAGAACGCGAACCAGGGUAGCCCACCAUCCCCACGGCCAACACCUCGUUCCAGACACUUCUGCACUCCUGAAGGGACAGUGCAUAGGUCCUAUAUGAAAGGCCCCAGUCUGUAGCAUCUUAAACUUGGUCUACAUCAGACUUCCUUUAAGCGUCACUUGGAUUCCAGAGAUCACUUGCAUCGAGUGGAAACAUCAGGAGCACACUAAGAGCUUUGGAAAGGCAGAUGCGGAAGAAGUUCAUUGCAGUAUGAAGAGCUUCUGUCUAAGAAGGCUGGGGAAAGCUGGUAAGAAAGGAAACCAUCUUGGCCAGGCGUAGUGGCUCACGCAUGUAAUCCCAGCACUUUGGGAGGUCAAGGAAGGCAGAUCACAAGGUCAGUAGUUCAAGACCAGCCUGACUAACAUGGCAAAACCCCGUCUAAGCUAAUACAAAAUUUAGCCGGGUGUGGUGGCGCACGCCUGUAAUCCCAGAUGCUUGGGAGGCUGAGGCAGGAGAAUCACUUGAACCUGGGAGGCGGAGAUUGCAGUGAGCUGAGACCACGCCGUUGCACUCCAGCCUGGGCUACAGAGCGAGACUCCAUCUAAAAAAAAAAAAAAAAAAGAAAGGAAACUCUCUUACCUCAGUCUCAUCUCAGACACCUAGACAUCUUUCAGAUCCAUAGUUGACUCUCAGGAGUGGAGAAGAGAAGCUAUUCCGACACUGUUCUAGGCAUUUCCAUUAUUACCCGCAACCUCCUUACAAAAAAACAAGCCAUGGGGAUUACUUGUUUCCUAUGAAAUCUCCAACACUCAGCAUAGUGCCUAGCCCAUAAUAGGCGCCCAAUAAACGUUGAGUAGAUAAGUGAAUGAAUGACAACCAAACAAAACGGUCAGUGGAUCCAUUUGCUCAAACUGCUUUAAGGAUCAAAUCAAUUACAACUUUAAGCCAAAUAAGUCUCCUGCUUGUUUUAUUAUGGAGGUGAAGCCAAGAGUUGAUUCGGUCAUGUGCUAUUUUACUGUAUUCAUUGAAAUAGUUUGGGUCCCAAGCACAGACUUUAGAUAGUUGAGGGCAAGGAUUAUACACCAUUUGCCCUCCUUUUCAUCCAAAUGCCAGCUGAUAUGCUAGGAGGUGAUUAGAUAGAGGAAUCUUGAGAUGACAAAUAUUUAAAUUUUUCUUUAGUAAAUGAUCUUUCUCCAUUAAUCACAUUUAACAUAGAGUAUUUUGCCAAUAGAAAUAAUCCCAAGUGAAUUGAGUGCAUAUUUGAUGUGACCUUUUCAACUGAAAAAAAGGGCUUCUGUUAGUAUCAUACACAGAACUUUCAGUGCACUUACGCUUGCAAAACCAACUGUAGUUUUUGUAAAAUGCAUCUAAGAAUGAGAAUUUCUCAUUAAAAAAAAAAAUUGGCCGGGUGCGCUGGCUUACACCUGUUGUAAUCCCAGCACUUUGGGAAGCUGAGGUGGGUGGAUCACAGGAGGUCAGGAGUUUGAGACCAGCCUGGCCAACGUGCUGAAAGCCUGUCUCU
RNAcentral lists this long non-coding RNA (2119 nucleotides) under Callithrix jacchus (white-tufted-ear marmoset). Its description in RNAcentral is "lncRNA (ENSCJAG00000076588.1)". The record is from RNAcentral. Lineage: Eukaryota; Metazoa; Chordata; Mammalia; Primates; Cebidae.